GAUGAACGCUGGCGGCGUGCCUAACACAUGCAAGUCGAACGGAGAUUCCGGACGGAAGUUUUCGGAUGGAAGACUGUAAUUCUUAGUGGCGGACGGGUGAGUAACGCGUGGGCAACCUGCCCUAUACAGGGGGAUAGCAGCUGGAAACGGCUGGUAAGACCGCAUAAGUCGGCGAGACCGCAUGGUUUUGCCGGGAAAUGAGCAAUCAGGUAUAGGAGGGGCCCGCGUCCGAUUAGCCAGUUGGCAGGGUAAAAGCCUACCAAAGCAACGAUCGGUAGCCGGACUGAGAGGUCGGGCGGCCACAUUGGGACUGAGACACGGCCCAAACUCCUACGGGAGGCAGCAGUGGGGGAUAUUGCACAAUGGAGGAAGCUCUGAUGCAGCGACGCCGCGUGAGUGAAGAAGUAUUUCGGUAUGUAAAGCUCUAUCAGCAGGGAAGAUGAUGACGGUACCUGACUAAGAAGCCCCGGCUAACUACGUG
RNAcentral lists this ribosomal RNA (481 nucleotides) under uncultured bacterium. RNAcentral describes it as "partial 16S ribosomal RNA". It matches the Rfam family "Bacterial small subunit ribosomal RNA", at positions 28 to 507 of the family's 1533-position model. The record is from RNAcentral.